UACGAAGGGGGCUAGCGUUGCUCGGAAUCACUGGGCGUAAAGGGUGCGUAGGCGGGUCUUUAAGUCAGAGGUGAAAGCCUGGAGCUCAACUCCAGAACUGCCUUUGAUACUGAGGAUCUCGAGUUCGGGAGAGGUGAGUGGAACUGCGAGUGUAGAGGUGAAAUUCGUAGAUAUUCGCAAGAACACCAGUGGCGAAGGCGGCUCACUGGCCCGGUACUGACGCUGAGGUGCGAAAGCGUGGGGAGCAAACAGG
Molecule: ribosomal RNA, 253 nt
Filed under: uncultured bacterium
Lineage: Bacteria
Description: partial 16S ribosomal RNA
Rfam family: Bacterial small subunit ribosomal RNA
Source: RNAcentral